GAUGAACGCUGACAGAAUGCUUAACACAUGCAAGUCUUUGGCGAAGCUGUGCUUGCACAGCCUAGCCAAGGCGGACGGGUGAGUAACGCGUAAGGAACUUGCCCUGCAGUCAGGGAUAACAGACGGAAACGACUGAUAGGACCUGGUAAAGUCAGGCGGACUCAUGUCCAGCCUGAUGAAAAGAGAUGCUGCAGGAGAGCCUUGCGUCCUAUUAGCUUGUUGGUGGGGUAACGGCCCACCAAGGCGAUGAUAGGUAGCCGGCCUGAGAGGGUGGACGGCCACAAGGGGACUGAGAUACGGCCCUUACUCCUACGGGAGGCAGCAGUGGGGAAUAUUGGACAAUGGGGGCGACCCUGAUCCAGCAAUUCUGUGUGCACGAUGAAGGUUUUCGGAUUGUAAAGUGCUUUCAGCAGGGAAGAAAAAAAUGACGGUACCUGCAGAAGAAGCGACGGCUAAAUACGUG
This 463-nucleotide ribosomal RNA is filed under the name uncultured bacterium. RNAcentral describes it as "partial 16S ribosomal RNA". It matches the Rfam family "Bacterial small subunit ribosomal RNA", at positions 28 to 507 of the family's 1533-position model. The record is from RNAcentral.